GUCGUUCGCCGCGGAUGUAGCCAAGUGGAUCAAGGCAGUGGAUUGUGAAUCCACCAUGCGCGGGUUCAAUUCCC
Molecule: transfer RNA, 74 nt
Filed under: Aristolochia debilis (slender Dutchman's pipe)
Lineage: Eukaryota; Viridiplantae; Streptophyta; Magnoliopsida; Piperales; Aristolochiaceae
Also listed under: 2 other names
Description: tRNA-His
Rfam family: tRNA (bases 11-74)
About the family: Transfer RNA (tRNA) molecules are approximately 80 nucleotides in length. Their secondary structure includes four short double-helical elements and three loops (D, anti-codon, and T loops).
Source: RNAcentral